This 408-nucleotide ribosomal RNA is filed under the name uncultured bacterium. RNAcentral describes it as "partial 16S ribosomal RNA". It matches the Rfam family "Bacterial small subunit ribosomal RNA", at positions 29 to 526 of the family's 1533-position model. The record is from RNAcentral.
AGUGAACGCUGGCAGCGUGCCUAAUACAUGCAAGUCGAAAGGAGUGGCGCACGGGGGAGUAAUGUAGAGAUAAUCUGCCCUAAAAUAGAGGACAACAGUUGGAAACGGCUGCUAAUAGUCUAUAGUGUAGGAUGAGGCUAUAUUGUAUCAGCUAGUUGGUGAGGUAAUGGCUCACCAAGGCUAUGAUGCAUAACUGGUCUGAGAGGAUGAUCAGUCACACUUGAACUGAGACACGGUCCAGACUCCUACGGGAGGCAGCAGUAGGGAAUAUUGCUCAAUGGGGGAAACCCUGAAGCAGCAACGCCGCGUGGAGGAUGACACUUUUCGGAGCGUAAACUCCUUUUGUUAGGGAAGCGGUACCUAACGAAUAAGCACCGGCUAACUCCGUGCCAGCCGCCGCGGUAAUUC